ACUUGGCUCUCGCCCUCCGGCCGGGAAGCAUGGGGCUUCCCAGGCUGGUCUGCGCCUUCUUGCUCGCCGCCUGCUGCUGCUGUCCUCGCGUCGCGGGUGUGCCCGGAGAGGCUGAGCAGCCUGCGCCUGAGCUGGUGGAGGUGGAAGUGGGCAGCACAGCCCUUCUGAAGUGCGGCCUCUCCCAGUCCCAAGGCAACCUCAGCCAUGUCGACUGGUUUUCUGAGAAGCGGACGCUCAUCUUCCGUGUGCGCCAGGGCCAGGGCCAGAGCGAACCUGGGGAGUACGAGCAGCGGCUCAGCCUCCAGGACAGAGGGGCUACUCUGGCCCUGACUCAAGUCACCCCCCAAGACGAGCGCAUCUUCUUGUGCCAGGGCAAGCGCCCUCGGUCCCAGGAGUACCGCAUCCAGCUCCGCGUCUACAAAGCUCCGGAGGAGCCAAACAUCCAGGUCAACCCCCUGGGCAUCCCUGUGAACAGUAA
Molecule: small RNA, 478 nt
Filed under: Pan troglodytes (chimpanzee)
Lineage: Eukaryota; Metazoa; Chordata; Mammalia; Primates; Hominidae
Description: processed transcript
Source: RNAcentral